GAUGAACGCUGGCGGCGUGCCUAACACAUGCAAGUCGAACGGAGUCCAGCCUUUAAGACCUUCGGGUCAAAGAGGGGAAGACUGAGUGGCGGACGGGUGAGUAACACGUGGGCAACCUGGCUCAUAGAGGGGGAUAACAGAGAGAAAUUUCUGCUAAUACCGCAUAAGCACACCCUGCCGCAUGGCAGAGGGUGAAAAGAGAAUCGCUAUGAGAUGGACCCGCGUCUGAUUAGCCAGUUGGCAGGGUAAGAGCCUACCAAAGCGACGAUCAGUAGCCGAUCUGAGAGGAUGAACGGCCACAUUGGGACUGAGACACGGCCCAAACUCCUACGGGAGGCAGCAGAGGGGGAUAUUGCACAAUGGGGGGAACCCUGAUGCAGCGACGCCGCGUGAGUGAAGAAGUAUUUCGGUAUGUAAAGCUCUAUCAGCAGGGAAGAUAAUGACAGUACCUGAAUAAGAAGCCCCGGCUAACUACGUG
This 478-nucleotide ribosomal RNA is filed under the name uncultured bacterium. RNAcentral describes it as "partial 16S ribosomal RNA". It matches the Rfam family "Bacterial small subunit ribosomal RNA", at positions 28 to 507 of the family's 1533-position model. The record is from RNAcentral.